GACGAACGCUGGCGGCGUGCCUAACACAUGCAAGUCGUGCGAGAAAGUUCCUUCGGGAGCGAGUAAAGCGGCGCACGGGUGAGUAACACGUAGGUAACCUGCCCCCCAGUCUGGAACAACUAGAGGAAACUCUAGCUAAUGCCGGAUGAGACCACGAUCCCUUCGGGGGUUGCGGCCAAAGAUGGCCUCUACUUGUAAGCUAUCGCUGAGGGAUGGGCCUGCGGGCCAUUAGCUUGUGGUGAGGUAACGGCUCACCAAGGCUGUGAUGGCUAGCUGGUCUGAGAGGAUGACCAGCCACACUGGGACUGAGACACGGCCCAGGACUCCUAC
This 330-nucleotide ribosomal RNA is filed under the name uncultured bacterium. RNAcentral's name for it is "bacterial SSU rRNA". It matches the Rfam family "Bacterial small subunit ribosomal RNA", at positions 28 to 342 of the family's 1533-position model. The record is from RNAcentral.